CCCUUAGAUGUUCUGGGCGGCCCGCGCACUACAAUGGCGUGUGCAGCGAGUGCCGAAGUAGAGUUUUCCGAGGUAUUCUUGCAAUGCUCGUUUUGAUGGGGAUAGACCCUUGCAACUGUUGGUUUUGAACGAGGAAUUCCUUGUAAGCAUGGUUUAUCAUCCGACGCUGAAUGCGUCCCUGCCCUUUGUACACACCGCCCGUCGCUCCUACCGAUGAGUCGUCCGGUGAAGUUCGUAGACCUCGUGAUCGCGGAUCACUGGGGGAAGCAAAAUGAACCUCGCGGUUUAGAGGAAGGAGAAGUCGUAACG
Molecule: ribosomal RNA, 309 nt
Filed under: uncultured eukaryote
Lineage: Eukaryota
Description: partial 18S ribosomal RNA
Rfam family: Eukaryotic small subunit ribosomal RNA
Source: RNAcentral